GCGGGUGUAGUAUAAUGGUUAUUAUGUCUGCCUUCCAAGCAGAAGAUGGGGCUUCGAUUGCCCUCACUCGUUCCA
Molecule: transfer RNA, 75 nt
Filed under: Caudoviricetes sp.
Lineage: Duplodnaviria; Heunggongvirae; Uroviricota; Caudoviricetes
Description: tRNA-Gly
Rfam family: tRNA
About the family: Transfer RNA (tRNA) molecules are approximately 80 nucleotides in length.
Source: RNAcentral